CUGGCUCAGGAUGAACGCUAGCGACAGGCUUAACACAUGCAAGUCGAGGGGCAUCACGGGAGUAGCAAUACAACUGGUGGCGACCGGCGCACGGGUGAGUAACGCGUAUGCAACCUACCUAUCAGAGGGAAUAACCCGGCGAAAGUCGGACUAAUACCGCAUAAAACAGGGGCACCGCAUGGUGAUAUUUGUUAAAGAAAUUCGCUGAUAGAUGGGCAUGCGUUCCAUUAGGUAGUUGGUGAGGUAACGGCUCACCAAGCCGACGAUGGAUAGGGGAACUGAGAGGUUGGUCCCCCACACUGGUACUGAGACACGGACCAGACUCCUACGGGAGGCAGCAGUGAGGAAUAUUGGUCAAUGGGCGGGAGCCUGAACCAGCCAAGUCGCGUGAAGGAAGAAGGAUCUAUGGUUCGUAAACUUCUUUUGCAGGGGAAUAAAGUGCAGGACGUGUCCUGUUUUGUAUGUACCCUGAGAAUAAGGAUCGGCUAACUCCGUGCCAGCCGCGGC
Molecule: ribosomal RNA, 507 nt
Filed under: uncultured bacterium
Lineage: Bacteria
Description: bacterial SSU rRNA
Rfam family: Bacterial small subunit ribosomal RNA
Source: RNAcentral